GACGAACGCUGGCGGCGUGCUUAACACAUGCAAGUCGAACGGGAUAAUUUGAGAGCUUGCUCUUAGAGAAUCUAGUGGCAAACGGGUGAGUAACACGUAGACAACCUGCCGACAGGAUGGGGACAACAUUCCGAAAGGAAUGCUAAUACCGAAUGAAGCGGAGGAGAGGCAUCUCUCCUCCGUGAAAGAUGGCCUCUGAAUAUGCUAUCACCUGUCGAUGGGUCUGCGUCUGAUUAGCUAGUUGGUGAGGUAACGGCUCACCAAGGCGACGAUCAGUAGCCGGUCUGAGAGGAUGAACGGCCACAUUGGGACUGAGACACGGCCCAGACUCCUACGGGAGGCAGCAGGGGGGAAUCUUCCGCAAUGGGCGCAAGCCUGACGGAGCAACGCCGCGUGAGUGAAGAAGGUCUUCGGAUCGUAAAGCUCUGUUGACGGGGACGAACGUGCGAAGGGUGAAUAAUCCUUUGUAAUGACGGUACCUGUCGAGGAAGCCACGGCUAACUACGUG
Molecule: ribosomal RNA, 508 nt
Filed under: uncultured bacterium
Lineage: Bacteria
Description: partial 16S ribosomal RNA
Rfam family: Bacterial small subunit ribosomal RNA
Source: RNAcentral